RNAcentral lists this long non-coding RNA (323 nucleotides) under Capsicum annuum. RNAcentral describes it as "long non-coding RNA (CANN_LNC013238)". The record is from RNAcentral. Lineage: Eukaryota; Viridiplantae; Streptophyta; Magnoliopsida; Solanales; Solanaceae.
UAUAAUAUGAACAACACGUCUACAGGGAUAUAUGUGGUGGCAGCGUUACUCUACAAACACUAACAGCAACAGUAGUUGUCCUUCUGAAACUAUUAUUUAUAACGUGGUAAGUAGUAGCAUUAUUAUUAUACAAUAUCUCAGUGGUAGUAGGCAGUCUAGCUAUCCAACAUGAUGACUCUCCAUUUUUGUCGUCUCGCAAAAUGUUCAAAGUAGAGGACGGAGGCUCCCACAUCAACGUAGUACUAUUAGUAUUACAUAUAUUUAUUCUGGCGUAUGCCAUCUUACAUUGUUCCCUGUAAACGUAACUCAGCGGCGGAUCAUGC